AGGAAAGCAGGGGAUCGCAAGACCUUGCGCUUUUGGAGCGGCCGAUGUCUGAUUAGCUAGUUGGUGAGGUAAAGGCUUACCAAGGCUUUGAUCAGUAGCUGGUCUGAGAGGACGACCAGCCACACUGGGACUGAGACACGGCCCAGACUCCUACGGGAGGCAGCAGUGGGGAAUUUUGGACAAUGGGGGAAACCCUGAUCCAGCCAUGCCGCGUGAGUGAAGAAGGCCUUCGGGUUGUAAAGCUCUUUCAGCCGGAACGAAAAGGUUACGGUUAAUACCCGUGACUAACGACGGUACCGGAAGAAGAAGCACCGGCUAACUACGUGCCAGCAGCCGCGGUAAUACGUAGGGUGCGAGCGUUAAUCGGGAUUACUGGGCGUAAAGCGUGCGCAGGCGGUUUUGUAAGUCAGAUGUGAAUCCCCGGGCUCAACCUGGGNAACUGCGUUUGAAACUACAAGGCU
This 461-nucleotide ribosomal RNA is filed under the name uncultured beta proteobacterium. RNAcentral's name for it is "bacterial SSU rRNA". It matches the Rfam family "Bacterial small subunit ribosomal RNA", at positions 200 to 642 of the family's 1533-position model. The record is from RNAcentral. Lineage: Bacteria; Pseudomonadati; Pseudomonadota; Betaproteobacteria.